RNAcentral lists this long non-coding RNA (210 nucleotides) under Vigna radiata. RNAcentral's name for it is "long non-coding RNA (VRAD_LNC009130)". Lineage: Eukaryota; Viridiplantae; Streptophyta; Magnoliopsida; Fabales; Fabaceae. The record is from RNAcentral.
AUACUGCCUUUCUCUUAUUUAUUUUUUUGUAUUUUCAAAAUUACGAAUAUGAUCUUCGAUGUUUUAUUAAAUUAUUUUAUUUUUUUUUACUUUUCUCUUCAAAUCGAUUAAAAAUUCAACGAUUUAAGGUUUGAAAUAAUUUUUUUUUGAAAGCAUGUGAACUUUUAACUAGUUUUCGAAAACCAAUUAAGAAAAAAAUAUAUUUUAAAA